RNAcentral lists this ribosomal RNA (422 nucleotides) under uncultured bacterium. RNAcentral describes it as "bacterial SSU rRNA". It matches the Rfam family "Bacterial small subunit ribosomal RNA", at positions 362 to 776 of the family's 1533-position model. The record is from RNAcentral.
UUUUGCGCAAUGCUCGUAAGAGUGACGCAGCGACGCCGCGUGAAUGACGAAGGCCUUCGGAUCGUAAACCUCUGUCAGCAGGGAAGAACGGUCACUGUGCUAAUCAGCAGUGAAUUGACGGUACCUGCAAAGGAAGCACCGGCUAACUCCGUGCCAGCAGCCGCGGUAAUACGGAGGGUGCGAGCGUUAAUCGGAAUUACUGGGCGUAAAGCGCUCGUAGGCGGUAUGUCAAGUCAAGGGUGAAAUCCCCGCGCUCAACGUGGGAACUGCCUUUGAAACUGGCAAACUGGAGUGUGUGAGAGGAUAGUGGAAUUCCAGGUGUAGGAGUGAAAUCCGUAGAUAUCUGGAGGAACAUCAGUGGCGAAGGCGACUAUCUGGCACAUAACUGACGCUGAAGAGCGAAAGCGUGGGUAGCAAACAGG